UAGCCCUGGGGGAACCUGGGGCUGGAUCACCUCCUUA
RNAcentral lists this ribosomal RNA (37 nucleotides) under Vibrio sp. Its description in RNAcentral is "partial 16S ribosomal RNA". Lineage: Bacteria; Pseudomonadati; Pseudomonadota; Gammaproteobacteria; Vibrionales; Vibrionaceae. The record is from RNAcentral.